Leptidea sinapis is the source of this 3186-nucleotide long non-coding RNA. RefSeq lists it as uncharacterized. The transcript has 2 exons. The record is from RefSeq and is a predicted model, not a curated record. Lineage: Eukaryota; Metazoa; Arthropoda; Insecta; Lepidoptera; Pieridae.
ACGUCCGAAGGGCGCUUCGAUCGCGGUACGUGCGCGGGUCGACGAUACGUCGUUGAGACUUAUUGGCGGCGCGCGCACGACGGUGUCGCUGCGCUGACGGAUAUCGUGUCUGCCUCAUACUUUUUAUCGUUGGCCUCAGAUCAGGGAGGAUCACCCGCCGAAUUUAAGCAUAUUAGUAAGCGGAGGAAAAGAAACUAACCAGGAUUCCCUCAGUAGCGGCGAGCGAACAGGGAUAAGCCCAGCGCCGAAUCCCGCGGUCGUCACGGUCGCGGGACAUGUGGUGUUAGGGAGGUUCCGCUUUCUCGCGGUCGCCGCUCCCGUCCAAGUUCGUCUUGAACGGGGCCGUUUUCCCAUAGAGGGUGCCAGGCCCGUAGCGACGGAGCGAGUCCGCGAGAGGGACUCUCCUCAGAGUCGGGUUGCUUGAGAGUGCAGCCCUAAGUGGGUGGUAAACUCCAUCUAAGGCUAAAUAUAACCGCGAGACCGAUAGCGAACAAGUACCGUGAGGGAAAGUUGAAAAUAACUUUGAAGAGAGAGUUCAAGAGUACGUGAAACCGUUCAGGGGUAAACCUGCGAAACUCGAAUGAACGAACGGAGAGAUUCAUCGUCACUCCGGGGCGUACGGCGGCGUGCCGCGAUGUGCGCGAGACUCGUGCUCGCGUUCACCGGUCGCCGCCGUUGACGCACCCGGACGGCGUGCACUUCUCUCUUAGUACACAUUAUGCAUCGCGACCCGUUCGUCUGUUCGGCCUAAGCGUUGUCCGGGAGCCGGGCGGCUGCGCGUUCACGCGCACAGCCGUCCGACCGUGACGAUCGCCGGCCGGCGGCGGACGGUACUUGUCAUGAAACGCGCACGCGUCUCCAUCCGGGGACGCGUCCGGCCCGACGCGAGCGAGAGUCGUCGUCGACAUCCUGCCCUUGUGCGGAUGCUGACGCGACGCCGCUGUCGUCGCAGCCGUGUAGUCUCGGACUGUGCGCGUAUCAGUCGGCGAUGUUACUGUUUCGGGCACUCGCAGGACCCGUCUUGAAACACGGACCAAGGAGUCUAGCAUGUGUGCGAGUCAUUGAGUUAUGAAUUCAAACAGACAAAACUGAAAGGCGCAACGAAAGUGAAGGCGCGCGCUUGUCGCGCGCUCAGGGAGGAUGGAGCGUCGGUCGUCAAAAAUCGAUCUCUCGCACUCCCGAGGCGUCUCGUUUCCAAUCAGCGAAUGCGGGCGCGCUCUGAGCACAGAUGCUGGGACCCGAAAGAUGGUGAACUAUGCCUGGUCAGGUCGAAGUCAGGGGAAACCCUGAUGGAGGACCGUAGCGAUUCUGACGUGCAAAUCGAUCGUCGGAACUGGGUAUAGGGGCGAAAGACUAAUCGAACCAUCUAGUAGCUGGUUCCGUCCGAAGUUUCCCUCAGGAUAGCUGGCGUCGACUCGUAACAGUCUCAUCCGGUAAAGCGAAUGAUUAGAGGCAUUGGGGCCGAAACGACCUCAACCUAUUCUCAAACUUUAAAUGGGUGAGAACUCCGGCUUACUCGAACGAUGAAGCCGGAGAUCUGAUGACGGUGCCAAGUGGGCCAAUUUUGGUAAGCAGAACUGGCGCUGUGGGAUGAACCAAACGUAGUGUUAAGGCGCCUAAAAAACGCUCAUGGGACACCAUGAAAGGCGUUGGUCGCUCAUGACAGCAGGACGGUGGCCAUGGAAGUCGGAAUCCGCUAAGGAGUGUGCAACGACUCACCUGCCGAAGCGACCAGCCCUGAAAAUGGAUGGCGCUGAAGCGUUUUGCCUAUACACUACCGUUACCGGCAAUCGGCGCGUGCGUGUCAAAGCGCACGCGUAUUAUGCCGUAACGAGUAGGACGUGCGCGGCGGAGUGCGCAGAAGGGUCUGGGCGUGAGCCCGCCUGGAGCCUCCGUCGGUGCAGAUCUUGGUGGUAGUAGCAAAUACUCCAGCGAGGCCCUGGAGGACUGACGUGGAGAAGGGUUUCGCGUGAACAGUAGUUGCUCGCGAGUCAGUCGAUCCUAAGCUCAAGGAGAGAUCUUAUGUCGAUGCGGUGUGUUUAUAUAUAUUUUGUGUAUAUGAUAAAUAACGCCCUUUGAGCGAAAGGGAAUCCGGUUCCUAUUCCGGAACCCGGCAGCGGAACCGUUUCAAUAAUCGUUCUCUCGUUUCUCAAGCGAGUGUUCGACGGGGUAACCCAAAGUGGCCUGAAGACGCCGCCGAGUGGUCCGGGAAGAGUUUUCUUUUCUGCCUGAGCGUUCGAGUUCCAUGGAAUCCUAUAGAAGGGAGAUAUGGUUCGGAACGCGAAGAGCACCGCAUUUGCGGCGGUGUCCGGAUACUCUCUGCGGACCUUGAAAAUUCAGGUGAGGGAUGUACGUGGAGAUGUCGCGCCGGCUCGUACCCAUAUCCGCAGCAGGUCUCCAAGGUGAAGAGCCUCUAGUCGAUAGAAUAAUGUAGGUAAGGGAAGUCGGCAAAUUGGAUCCGUAACUUCGGAAUAAGGAUUGGCUCUGAGGACCGGGGCGUGUCGGGUUUGGACGGGAAGCGGAUGCGGCCGGUGCCGGGCCUGGUCGAUGCUCGCGCGUGUCUCCAUCGCAAGGUGGUCUCGCGCGUCGUGCUGAAUCCGGACCCGCGUUCCGGCCUUUCGCGGAUCUUCCUAGCCGUAAGUCCGCGUCGGUUUCGUCUCGUGCGCGAUCGGCGCGGUACUGUACGACCGCCGUUCAACGGUCAGCUCAGAACUGGCACGGACAAGGGGAAUCCGACUGUCUAAUUAAAACAAAGCAUUGCGAUGGCCCUCGCGGGUGUUGACGCAAUGUGAUUUCUGCCCAGUGCUCUGAAUGUCAACGUGAAGAAAUUCAAGCAAGCGCGGGUAUGGGGGAGGGGAGCCCACUGGGAGGCUACCAGUGCCCCUCCAUUGGCGUCGGACUCGUAGUGGCUUGGCGCCAGGUGUUGAUAGGACAAAUGUGGGGAGAUUGUUGUCCAUUUGUUUGCGUAUAGCAUAUCUCUCAAUAGGAGACGGCCAAGUUGUGUGUGUGUGUGCAAACAAACAACAGGCCAACAUAUAAUAUUAUAAUAACAUAAUAAUAUAAAUAAUAUUAUCAUGAUAUUUCGUCGUGACGGACGCGUCACGCGAUUUCUCAUGAUUAUAAAAUUUUACAAUAUAUUAUUAUUUAUUAUAGUUGAAAGACGUGGUUGAUGUUGUACACGGCGAC